RNAcentral lists this ribosomal RNA (587 nucleotides) under uncultured bacterium. Its description in RNAcentral is "partial 16S ribosomal RNA". It matches the Rfam family "Bacterial small subunit ribosomal RNA", at positions 355 to 1375 of the family's 1533-position model. The record is from RNAcentral.
UGGGGAAUUUUGGACAAUGGGCGAAAGCCUGAUCCAGCAAUGCCGCGUGUGUGAAGAAGGCCUUCGGGUUGUAAAGCACUUUUGUCCGGAAAGAAAUCCUCUGGGUUAAUACCUCGGGGGGAUGACGGUACCGGAAGAAUAAGCACCGGCUAACUACGUGCCAGCAGCCGCGGUAAUACGUAGGGUGCAAGCGUUAAUCGGAAUUACUGGGCGUAAAGCGUGCGCAGGCGGUUUUGUAAGACGGAUGUGAAAUCCCCGGGCUUAACCUGGGAACUGCAUUCGUGACUGCAAGGGCUAGAGUAUGGCAGAGGGGGGUUAGAAUUCCACGUGUAGCAGUGAAAUGCGUAGAGAUGUGGAGGAAUACCGAUGGCGAAGGCAGCCCCCUGGGCCAAUACUGACGCUCAUGCACGAAAGCGUGGGGAGCAAACAGGAUUAGAUACCCUGGUAGUCCACGCCCUAAACGAUGUCAACUAGUUGUUGGGGAUUCAUUUCCUUAGUAACGUAGCUAACGCGUGAAGUUGACCGCCUGGGGAGUACGGUCGCAAGAUUAAAACUUAAAUGAAUUGACGGGGUCAUAGCUGUUUCCU